UAUUCUCUCUUCUCAUGCUCUCCCAUCUAAAUACAUAACGUUAGCUAAGCCCGUCUGAAUAGAUUUGAUUAGCCAACAGUAUAGCUAGCUGACAGAGCCCCCAAUAGUAAAGCGUCAGGCCAAUAUUUUCAGAGAUUAUAGAUUAUUAUAGCUCCAGUGAAGUCAGGUGGGUAACGCACAUCAAAUCACUAGCCCAUUUGGUGGGUUAUGAUUCAUAAAUUAUGACCGUAUGCACACUCAAGUCUAUUCGUGGCACCCAACAGCUGUUCAAAAUCAUGCCGCGCCACGUAACGUUACAGUUUGCCAUUCAAAGUUUUCUAAAAUACAACGAUUUGGGACCGAUGUCUGUACAUUCUGACUUCACCCUAGUCUACAAGACUGUGUAUUGUGCAUUUUAAUAACAGGAAGAAGAUUUGGUGUUGAUGGAGGAGGCAACAUCUUCAAGGCAAAACCUUAGACCUCAUUCAACAUCAUCCAUGUUGCAAUCCCCCUCAGGAGGCACUUGAAGCCCAGU
Sinocyclocheilus rhinocerous is the source of this 514-nucleotide long non-coding RNA. RefSeq lists it as uncharacterized. The record is from RefSeq and is a predicted model, not a curated record. The transcript is spliced from 3 exons. NCBI's taxonomy places the organism in Eukaryota, Metazoa, Chordata, Actinopteri, Cypriniformes, Cyprinidae.